This 1285-nucleotide ribosomal RNA is filed under the name Massaria anomia. RNAcentral describes it as "eukaryotic LSU rRNA". It matches the Rfam family "Eukaryotic large subunit ribosomal RNA", at positions 76 to 1389 of the family's 3401-position model. Lineage: Eukaryota; Fungi; Ascomycota; Dothideomycetes; Pleosporales; Massariaceae. The record is from RNAcentral.
UGCCCUAGUAACGGCGAGUGAAGCGGCAAUAGCUCAAAUUUGAAAUCUGGCUCUCAUUUUGGGGGUCCGAGUUGUAAUUUGUAGAGGGUCUUCGGAGUUGCCUUGGUCUAAGUUCUUUGGAACAGGACGUCAUAGAGGGUGAGAACCCCGUACGUGGCCAAUGGUCUUCGCCAUGUGAAGCCCCUUCGACGAGUCGAGUGUUUGGGAAUGCAGCUCUAAAUGGGAGGUAUAUUUCUUCUAAAGCUAAAUACUGGCCAGAGACCGAUAGCGCACAAGUAGAGUGAUCGAAAGAUGAAAAGCACUUUGGAAAGAGAGUUAAAAAGCACGUGAAAUUGUUGAAAGGGAAGCGCUUGCAACCAGACUUGCCUGCAGUUGCUCAUCUAGGCUUUUGCCUGGUGCACUCUUCUGUAGGCAGGCCAGUAUCAGUUCGGGCGGUUGGAUAAAGACGUUGGGAAUGUAGCUCUCCUCGGAGAGUGUUAUAGCCCAGCGUGUAAUACAGCCAGCCUGGACUGAGGUCCGCGCUUCGGCUAGGAUACUGGCGUAAUGGUUGUAAGCGGCCCGUCUUGAAACACGGACCAAGGAGUCUAACAUCUAUGCGAGUGUUUGGGUGUCAAGCCCGGACGCGUAAUGAAAGUGAACGGAGGUAGGAACCUUUUUUAAGGUGCACUAUCGACCGAUCCUGAUGUCUUCGGAUGGAUUUGAGUAAGAGCAUAGCUGUUGGGACCCGAAAGAUGGUGAACUAUGCCUGAAUAGGGUGAAGUCAGAGGAAACUCUGAUGGAGGCUCGCAGCGGUUCUGACGUGCAAAUCGAUCGUCAAAUUUGGGCAUAGGGGCGAAAGACUAAUCGAACUAUCUAGUAGCUGGUUCCUGCAAGUUUCCCUCAGGAUAGCAGUAACGUUUUCAGUUUUAUGAGGUAAAGCUGAUUAGAGUGGGGGUUGAAACACCUUCACCUAUUCUCAACUUUAAAUAUGUAGAAGUCCUUGUUACUUAGUUGAACGUGGACAUUUGAAUGUAUCGUUACUAGUGGGCCAUUUUUGGUAAGCAGAACUGGCGAUGCGGGAUGAACCGAACGCGGGGUUAAGGUGCCAGAAUGCACGCUCAUCAGACACCACAAAAGGUGUUAGUUCAUCUAGACAGCAGGACGGUGGCCAUGGAAGUCGGAAUCCGCUAAGGAGUGUGUAACAACUCACCUGCCGAAUGAACUAGCCCUGAAAAUGGAUGGCGCUCAAGCGUGCUACCCAUACCCCGCCGCCGGGGCAAAAAUUACGCCCCGGCGAGUAGGCAGG